Long non-coding RNA from Antechinus flavipes (yellow-footed antechinus), 3832 nucleotides. RefSeq lists it as uncharacterized. The record is from RefSeq and is a predicted model, not a curated record. The transcript is spliced from 3 exons. NCBI's taxonomy places the organism in Eukaryota, Metazoa, Chordata, Mammalia, Dasyuromorphia, Dasyuridae.
GGAUAACUUAGGGAAACGUGAAGCCACUCUGGUCCGAUUGUUUUUGCUCACUUGUUCUCCAGGAGGUGUAAUGUCACUGCAAGACAGAAAGAGAAUGGGUUGAAUGAAGCAAGCUGUGGCGAUCAAUUCUUUGUUUCUAUCAGCAACAUGAUGAAUAUGAAAAUGUGCACUUAAGAGACUGAAUGAGUUCAAAUUUUUCCUUGCUUGGAGAAAAAAUUGGUACAUUAAGUUUUACAAACUUGUCAACUGAAUGUUGAAAACUAUCUUUGUAUAUUAUUUUUUAAAAAAAGAAUCUAUUAAACAUUAAGAUUUACAAUAUUUGUCUCUUUCCUUGACAUUUAUAUGAAGGGACAAAUGUAAUUUUAAAGCCUUAUAAACGGUCCCUAUUAUUUAUAAUUUUAACUCUGUAUUUCCCCAUAAAAUAUUUUAUGGUAAAACACAAGAUUAACAAAGAAAGAUUUAUAUGUUGCUGACAGGAAACAGUUUAAGAAAUGAGGUAAAAGAUUUUGGAGAUGCAAGAUAAAUACAUGCUUUGUUCCUUUUUCUUCUGUUUCUUUAUUUUUCUGUUGAGGUCUUUCCCUUUUAUUCUCAGAUCAUAUAGCCAGUAAGUGUCUGAGGCCAGAUUUGAACUCAGAAAGAUGAGUUUUCCUGAGAACAACAUGAUUCACAAGGAAAUAGGUUAAAAAACAUAUAUAUAUACAUUUAUAACCAAAAAAAAAGUUAUUUUACAUUUAACUGAGGAAAAGAAAAAGAAAAAAAAAAAGAAAUGACAUAAAAGCCAUCACAUUUCCCUGCAAGUUUAGUGGGGAAGAAAAGAGAAUAAGGAGAUGUGGCAAGAAUAAGAAAUCAGUAGAGGGGCAUCAACAAGUUAGGUUCUGGACCUUGGUGAUCAAAAUGUGGCUGUCACAAUCCGUUCUACUUUGUUGCAAUAGUAAUUAGAAGUUAUAAAAUUGUGGAAAGUUAAAUGAUCUUAAAGAAUCAAUUACUCAUUCAGAAUAUAGUUACAAUCAAUUUAUCCACUUUUUUUUGAGCAAUAACUAUGUAGUCCCGUGAACUGGACACUUAAAAGAACAUCCAAAAUAAAUCCAGAAAGCUUCUACCCUAAAAAAGCUUUCCAUUUACAGAGGAAGAUAAAACACAGAAAGAUUCUUAUUAAGUAUGUAAUAAAAAGUACAUAUCUACAAUAAAAGUAAAUGUAAGAUGGUAAAUGGUGAUUGGAUGCAGAACAAAGAUAACUACCUAUCUUUAUCUCUUUAUCUAGCUCAUCUAACUCCAUCUGUAUCUCUAAAGCUAGAAAGGAUUUGUUCAUUCAGAAAAUCUUUAUUAAGUAUUUCAUAUAAAUAAUGAAUGUAUUGUUCCAAGCACUGGGAAUGUAGGAGGGAGAGGUUAACUAUGUUAGACCCAUCCAUUAGGUCCUCUCUUAUUAAUAAUUAUUUGAGUUCUAUAAAACAUAAGAGAAAUACUAUAAUGAUAACUCAAAUUUCCAUAACAUAUACAAUAUAUACUUUCUUCACUACAAUUCCAUGAAAUAAACAGUACAACAUUAAUAGCCACAUGUUAUGAAUGAGUAAAUAAAGACUUGCCCAGAUAGUUCUAGUAAACAUAAAUCAGGAUUUAAACCCAAGUUGCUCUUGACUCCAAGUGUACUAUUUUUUUCCUAUUAUGUACAUAUCCCAGAAUUCUGACCAUUGAAUCCCCAGUGUUUUAUCAUUUCCAAGUAAAAAGAAACAACAACAAAGUAAACAAAAUGCAAGUGUGUUUGUUGUCCAGAGUGAUUAGGGCACAAGGCAAACAAAUUUAUUGAAUGUUCUCAUAUGAAUUCAGGUCUUCUGAAUCCAAAGCCAGUAUUUUUUCUCUUCCACUAUGACAUCUGUCCAGAUGAAAUCAUGUGAUUUCAGUCUUCUUAAUUUAAUAGUACAAAGGGAAAGACACAGCACUACUAAUUGAGAGAUUCUCUGGGCCAUAGUGUUGAAUUUAAUAAGUAGAAAAGUAAAUAAGUUGUCUUCUGGUUUGAUUUUUCAAGAAAGUACCCAUAAUUAAACUUAUUCCAGGAAACAUUGCCCUGUUAAUACUCAAGACAGUCUUUAAUGGUGUAAUGAAUUUCACCUAUUAAUUAUUAUAUAAAGAUCACUUUAAGAGAGAUGCUGAUAAUUACAAAUGUUAGCAAUCCUGAAUGGUUGAUGGAGAUAUACCACUUAACUCACUCUAAACCACUUCAAUUAAAAUCUCUCAUUACCUGCCAUAUGCAUAUUCCUUAAGGGCGUAUGAACUAUGUCAGUGACAUUUUGGAAGUUCAGUAGCAAAUUAACUCAGGUUGGGGAGCUUUGGAGGAAUUUUCUGAGGACAGAUAAAACCACAAGUCCUUCAUCUUUAUUCUCAGUCUUUAGAUGCAGGAUUGAACAGGAUGAAAGCAGAAUCUUGUGACCGUCUUCUUGGCAUACCACCAAGAGUGACCCUGGCUAGUUUUACUCUACCCCCUCGUCCCUCCUACAAUUCUCUGUAUACACCAAUCAUUGAGCCAGCACAGAAUAGUGGGAAGGGCCAUUUCCCAAGCAUAUGCCCAUACAGUAUUGUCCAAUUGGUAAUUAGCCUCAAGCGCUCAGCAGUCCUGACCUCAGUACAUUGACUAAAUAAUUUCAGCCCUCUACAUACAAGGGUUAAACUUCUUCAUAAUCAAAUUUGUUCAGAGAAUCUUGUAAUAUUGUAGGUAUUUCCCAGCUACUUCUUUGCGAAAGCUUUUAGACAAAUUACACCACCUCCUAACAACUCAGUCGAUCAAUAAUCAAUAAGCAUUUAUAAAGUGCCAAGUAAAUUCUAGGAACUGUGCUAGGUUCAGGAAACACAACAUUAAAAAAAAGUUUCUUAUAUCAAGAAACAAAUUCUAGAAAAUGAAAUGCUUAUGUCAAAAAUAAGCAGUUAUUAAGCACCUACCAUGUGCAAGGCUCAUACUAAGCCCUGGGGAUACAGAAACAAGCAAAAAGAAAGGUAGUGUUACUUUAUGAGUUGCUCAUGGACUUGCUUUAGGUCAUGUAGAUCAUGAAGUAGAGGAGCUGAAAUUUGAAUCCAAUGCUCUCUCCUAGCUUCUUACUCCUCUCCCCCCCAAUAAGAAUCAGAAUGAAUCAGAAUCAGAACUCAUCUGAUUUUAAUAGGAAAAGAUAAUACAUAAAAAGGAGCUGAAAAGUAGGGACUGAAAGCAUGGUCACACUGCUGAGUCUGAUAUGGAGCCAAGACAGGAACGAAGUGGCAGUCUUAGACCCUUUCUUAAAAUUAAGAGUUGGGCAAGACCUUUCUAGUGAGAGAAAACAGUUAGAAAGAGAUGUUCAAGAGAAGAUAAAUGAGACCUGGUGGUAAAGUCAGAGUCAGAAGCAAAGCCCAGAGACGAAGUGAUUUAGUAAAGGAUAGAAAAUGACUUUCAAUGGAUGGAAGUUAUUAAUAGGUAAGGAAAUCAGGAAAGGUUUCAUUUAAAAGUGUGACUUGAAGGAAACUAGGCAUUUUAAGAGGUGAAAAUUGAGAAAGCAGUAUAUUCCACACAUAGUAGAUAGGCAGUGCAAAUUCAUGAAGAUAGGAGAUAGGAUACUGAACAUGAAGAACAGUAAGAAAACCACUUUAGCUGGACUACAGUGUACAUAAAUGUGCAUAAUGUGAAACAAAGCUGGAAAGACAGACAAGGUCUAAGUCCAUCAAAGGCUUUAAAUGCCAAAUGCAAAAGUGUCCAUUUUCAAUCUUAGAAGGUAUCCUAGAAGCCUAGGGAAGAGACAGGUCAAGGUAAAAGGACUGGGGUUUCACCUCAGGUUCUCUGACAAGCGAAUUCUACGUCAAUCAAAUCAAGCUG